Molecule: small nucleolar RNA, 128 nt
Organism: Meriones unguiculatus (Mongolian gerbil)
Lineage: Eukaryota; Metazoa; Chordata; Mammalia; Rodentia; Muridae
Source: Ensembl
GCAGUUUGGGCACUGCAGAUGUAGCUGCUGGGUCACAUGCAGGUCAGUCGGUGGCAGAGAGGAGAGAGGUCAUAUCUAGGCUCAGUGUUCUGACCUGUGAACAUCUGAUUGAUUAGUAGCCUAACACU